RNAcentral lists this long non-coding RNA (2268 nucleotides) under Felis catus (domestic cat). RNAcentral's name for it is "lncRNA (ENSFCAG00000046949.1)". The record is from RNAcentral. Lineage: Eukaryota; Metazoa; Chordata; Mammalia; Carnivora; Felidae.
GCUUUGGAGACAUUCACCACAAGUCACUUGUUCCUCACAGAAGACUUCCUCCAGGCAUCCUCCACUCCCCAGAGGUCUCAGAGGCCUUUGACAACACUUCAAGAGGGAAGACUCCUUUCUCAGGGAGAGGAGCAGAGGAGGCAAAGUGAGGGUCCGGCUGCAGACCUUUUCGCCAGGAGUGGCUGUGAUUCCACGAGCAGAAUAGGAGCCAUUUAUUCCCACUCAAUUUGUUGUGUUCCUAAUAUACCAAAAACAGAGCAUCAGGAGUCACUGCAGAGGAGGCAAAGUGAGGGUCCGGCUGCAGACCUUUUCGCCAGGAGUGGCUGUGAUUCCACGAGCAGAAUAGGAGCCAUUUAUUCCCACUCAAUUUGUUGUGUUCCUAAUAUACCAAAAACAGAGCAUCAGGAGUCACUGCAGAGGAGGCAAAGUGAGGGUCCGGCUGCAGACCUUUUCGCCAGGAGUGGCUGUGAUUCCACGAGCAGAAUAGGAGCCAUUUAUUCCCACUCAAUUUGUUGUGUUCCUAAUAUACCAAAAACAGAGCAUCAGGAGUCACUGCAGAGGAGGCAAAGUGAGGGUCCGGCUGCAGACCUUUUCGCCAGGAGUGGCUGUGAUUCCACGAGCAGAAUAGGAGCCAUUUAUUCCCACUCAAUUUGUUGUGUUCCUAAUAUACCAAAAACAGAGCAUCAGGAGUCACUGCAGAGGAGGCAAAGUGAGGGUCCGGCUGCAGACCUUUUCGCCAGGAGUGGCUGUGAUUCCACGAGCAGAAUAGGAGCCAUUUAUUCCCACUCAAUUUGUUGUGUUCCUAAUAUACCAAAAACAGAGCAUCAGGAGUCACUGCAGAGGAGGCAAAGUGAGGGUCCGGCUGCAGACCUUUUCGCCAGGAGUGGCUGUGAUUCCACGAGCAGAAUAGGAGCCAUUUAUUCCCACUCAAUUUGUUGUGUUCCUAAUAUACCAAAAACAGAGCAUCAGGAGUCACUGCAGAGGAGGCAAAGUGAGGGUCCGGCUGCAGACCUUUUCGCCAGGAGUGGCUGUGAUUCCACGAGCAGAAUAGGAGCCAUUUAUUCCCACUCAAUUUGUUGUGUUCCUAAUAUACCAAAAACAGAGCAUCAGGAGUCACUGCAGAGGAGGCAAAGUGAGGGUCCGGCUGCAGACCUUUUCGCCAGGAGUGGCUGUGAUUCCACGAGCAGAAUAGGAGCCAUUUAUUCCCACUCAAUUUGUUGUGUUCCUAAUAUACCAAAAACAGAGCAUCAGGAGUCACUGCAGAGGAGGCAAAGUGAGGGUCCGGCUGCAGACCUUUUCGCCAGGAGUGGCUGUGAUUCCACGAGCAGAAUAGGAGCCAUUUAUUCCCACUCAAUUUGUUGUGUUCCUAAUAUACCAAAAACAGAGCAUCAGGAGUCACUGCAGAGGAGGCAAAGUGAGGGUCCGGCUGCAGACCUUUUCGCCAGGAGUGGCUGUGAUUCCACGAGCAGAAUAGGAGCCAUUUAUUCCCACUCAAUUUGUUGUGUUCCUAAUAUACCAAAAACAGAGCAUCAGGAGUCACUGCAGAGGAGGCAAAGUGAGGGUCCGGCUGCAGACCUUUUCGCCAGGAGUGGCUGUGAUUCCACGAGCAGAAUAGGAGCCAUUUAUUCCCACUCAAUUUGUUGUGUUCCUAAUAUACCAAAAACAGAGCAUCAGGAGUCACUGCAGAGGAGGCAAAGUGAGGGUCCGGCUGCAGACCUUUUCGCCAGGAGUGGCUGUGAUUCCACGAGCAGAAUAGGAGCCAUUUAUUCCCACUCAAUUUGUUGUGUUCCUAAUAUACCAAAAACAGAGCAUCAGGAGUCACUGCAGAGGAGGCAAAGUGAGGGUCCGGCUGCAGACCUUUUCGCCAGGAGUGGCUGUGAUUCCACGAGCAGAAUAGGAGCCAUUUAUUCCCACUCAAUUUGUUGUGUUCCUAAUAUACCAAAAACAGAGCAUCAGGAGUCACUGCAGAGGAGGCAAAGUGAGGGUCCGGCUGCAGACCUUUUCGCCAGGAGUGGCUGUGAUUCCACGAGCAGAAUAGGAGCCAUUUAUUCCCACUCAAUUUGUUGUGUUCCUAAUAUACCAAAAACAGAGCAUCAGGAGUCACUGCAGAGGAGGCAAAGUGAGGGUCCGGCUGCAGACCUUUUCGCCAGGAGUGGCUGUGAUUCCACGAGCAGAAUAGGAGCCAUUUAUUCCCACUCAAUUUGUUGUGUUCCUAAUAUACCAAAAACAGAGCAUCAGGAGUCACUGCAGAGGAGGGAUGCAGGGUGA